GAAGCCUAGAUUCCUGAACACAUUCAGACCUGCCACAGCAACCUAGCUCUGAACUCCCUUCAAGGCUGCUCUAUGCCAAAGGAAAUAAGAUUAAAGCAACACAGGAAGAGUUCUGGUUGGCAAUAAGACACAAUGGAUAUAUCUUGUGUGGGAUUUGAAAGGAAGAAUAGAAAAAUCUACAUGAGUACUCUUGGGGGGAAAAGAGCUUGGUCAUGUGAAUUACUUUGGUCAAUGAGACGUGAACAAAUAUGAUAUAAGCAGAGGCUUUAAAAGACUUGCAUAUUGGAGCUUGCUCUCAUUUUCUGUACUUGGAAUUCUGCAAUUGCCAUCAUGUGAACAAGCCCUGGCUAGCCUCCUGGAUGAUUAUAGCCAGAUCACCUCCAUCACUCAAGGUGACAUUGAGUCAACUGCCUGAAGCCAUCCUAGACCAUCCAGCUUCAGCUGAAACAGCCCAGAAGAUUAAUCAUAUGAAAUAAUAAAUUAUUGUUGUUUG
Long non-coding RNA from Pongo pygmaeus (Bornean orangutan), 493 nucleotides. RefSeq lists it as uncharacterized. The transcript has 3 exons. Lineage: Eukaryota; Metazoa; Chordata; Mammalia; Primates; Hominidae. The record is from RefSeq and is a predicted model, not a curated record.